CUGGCGACGUGCCUAACACAUGCAAGUCGAACGGGGUUAAGGGAAAUUUCGGAUGGACUUAACUAGUGGCGGACGGGUGAGUAACGCGUGGAUAACCUGCCUCACACUGGGGGGAUAGCAGCUGGAAACGGCUGGUAAUACCGCAUAAGACCACAGCACCGCAUGGUGCAGGGGUAAAAGAUUUAUCGGUGUGAGAUGGAUCCGCGUCUGAUUAGCCAGUUGGCGGGGUAACGGCCCACCAAAGCGACGAUCAGUAGCCGGCCUGAGAGGGUGAACGGCCACAUUGGGACUGAGACACGGCCCAAACUCCUACGGGAGGCAGCAGUGGGGAAUAUUGCACAAUGGGCGCAAGCCUGAUGCAGCAACGCCCGCGUGAGUGAAGAAGUAUUUCGGUAUGUAAAGCUCUAUCGGCAGGGAAGAAAGGCCCGAAAGGGAGAUGACGGUACCUGACUAAGAAGCCCCGGCUAACUACGUGCCAGCCGCAGC
Molecule: ribosomal RNA, 486 nt
Filed under: uncultured bacterium
Lineage: Bacteria
Description: bacterial SSU rRNA
Rfam family: Bacterial small subunit ribosomal RNA
Source: RNAcentral